RNAcentral lists this ribosomal RNA (467 nucleotides) under uncultured bacterium. RNAcentral describes it as "partial 16S ribosomal RNA". It matches the Rfam family "Bacterial small subunit ribosomal RNA", at positions 28 to 523 of the family's 1533-position model. The record is from RNAcentral.
GACGAACGCUGGCGGCGUGCUUAACACAUGCAAGUCGAGCGGAAAACUUCGGUUUUCAGCGGCGGACGGGUGAGUAACACGUGGGCAACCCGCCUCACAAUGAGGGAUAGCCUUCCGAAAGGAAGAUUAAUACCUCAUAACACAAGAGAAACGCAUGUUUCUCUUGCCAAAGAAUUUCGUUGUGAGAUGGGCCCGCGGCGCAUUAGCUUGUUGGUGAGGUAACGGCUCACCAAGGCUUCGAUGCGUAGCCGACCUGAGAGGGUGAUCGGCCACAUUGGAACUGAGACACGGUCCAGACUCCUACGGGAGGCAGCAGUGGGGAAUAUUGCACAAUGGAGGAAACUCUGAUGCAGCAACGCCGCGUGAGUGAUGAAGGUCUUCGGAUUGUAAAACUCUGUCUUCUGGGACGAUAAUGACGGUACCAGAGGAGGAAGCCACGGCUAACUACGUGCCAGCCGCCGCUGUAA